This 93-nucleotide microRNA precursor is filed under the name Microcebus murinus (gray mouse lemur). RNAcentral describes it as "miRNA (ENSMICG00000042377.1)". Lineage: Eukaryota; Metazoa; Chordata; Mammalia; Primates; Cheirogaleidae. The record is from RNAcentral.
GGAGGAUCACUUGAGCCCAGGAGGUCAUGGCUGCAGUGAGCUAUGAUCAUACCACUGCACUCCAGCCUGAGCGACAGAGCAAGACCCUAUCUC